RNAcentral lists this ribosomal RNA (253 nucleotides) under uncultured bacterium. Its description in RNAcentral is "partial 16S ribosomal RNA". It matches the Rfam family "Bacterial small subunit ribosomal RNA", at positions 524 to 776 of the family's 1533-position model. The record is from RNAcentral.
UACGUAGGGUGCGAGCGUUAAUCGGAAUUACUGGGCGUAAAGCGUGCGCAGGCGGUGAUGUAAGACAGUUGUGAAAUCCCCGGGCUCAACCUGGGAACUGCAUCUGUGACUGCAUCGCUGGAGUACGGUAGAGGGGGAUGGAAUUCCGCGUGUAGCAGUGAAAUGCGUAGAUAUGCGGAGGAACACCGAUGGCGAAGGCAAUCCCCUGGACCUGUACUGACGCUCAUGCACGAAAGCGUGGGGAGCAAACAGG